Molecule: long non-coding RNA, 872 nt
Organism: Camellia sinensis
Lineage: Eukaryota; Viridiplantae; Streptophyta; Magnoliopsida; Ericales; Theaceae
Source: RefSeq, a predicted model, not a curated record
UCUUGCACCUCACACAAUUUCUUGAGAGUAGUCUCCCGGCAUCUUGGAAUAUGCCAAUUCAUAUGUUCUCACAUUUCAUACGAAUUGACAUAUUCCAAAGGCUUAUUUAGCCUAUAAAUACACCUAUUCUUGUAGAGAAAAGAAGUUGCACUCUCUCUCUCUCCCUACAUUACCCAUACUUGGCCCAAACAAUCCCAAAAUAAUCUCUUUCCUUCAUUGAAGUUUAAACUUAGAGCUUUGGAGUAUUCAUGGAAGGCUUGAGUGGUUGAUUAUAGUUGUUUUGAUUCUCCUAUUACUAUUCUCUCUUGCCUAGAGCUUGAUAAGCGGUUCUCCUCCCCAGGGUGUUGCUGUGCUAGGCAGUGAAGGGCUUAUAUGCAAUGGAACUUGGCAUUGUGAUCCGUUUCCGUUUGUCCGGUGAGAGGUGGGAACAAGCGAACCAUGUCACCAGCUAGGCAAUUCAUCCUUCGCUUUGUUACCUUUUAUUUUGAUGCUGUGUUUGGUGGCAUGUAAUUCGUAUCUUGGAUUCGGAAUUGCAGACAAUUUCCUAUGUCAUAUUUUGAACUGAAGUGGUCUUCAUUUCUUAUUUCAAAGCAUGAAUUUUGUACAGCCAAACACAUUGUGUUUGGUGGCACCGUGGCAUGUAGUCCAUGUUCUAGAUUCUUCAUCCUAUUUCAUAUUUUGAAUUAAAAUGGUCUUUAAUUCCGAUUUCAAAGCAUGAAUUGUGUGUCACCAAACAGUGUGUUAUGUGCUUUUUAUAAAAAGCAUAAGAAUUCCCAAUAUGUACUAUAAUACUUUUGUUGCCUUUUUCCUUCCAAGUACUUUUGUAAGACGUAAUGGUUUUGAUAUAUGCUACAAUUGUGGUCUAUGAUUUA